UGGCCGCUUUAAAGUUAUGUGCUCUGACAUGAGUAAAAGGUUUGCACUAAGACCCCUAAUUUUAUUCGAGUGAUUGGCCGGAUAGGUUUUCCUUGGCUGUAAUAUUUGUGUGCUCUUUCCCUUUCAAUAUUGUAUUGUAUGAAAUAUAUAAAGGACGUAAGGAGAAUAAAAGUGGUAAUUUAUGCAAAUUCUGUCUUUUUAGACAUGAUUGUUUUGGUUGUUACUUGGAGAGGACAAAAGCACGUUUUAUAUGCAU
Molecule: long non-coding RNA, 256 nt
Filed under: Elaeis guineensis (African oil palm)
Lineage: Eukaryota; Viridiplantae; Streptophyta; Magnoliopsida; Arecales; Arecaceae
Description: long non-coding RNA (EGUI_LNC010533)
Source: RNAcentral